Molecule: long non-coding RNA, 1973 nt
Organism: Aquila chrysaetos chrysaetos
Lineage: Eukaryota; Metazoa; Chordata; Aves; Accipitriformes; Accipitridae
Exons: 3
Source: RefSeq, a predicted model, not a curated record
UUCAUGUUCAAAAAGAACUAGACAAAUUCGUGAGAAAAAAUUGUGUGACUUAGAAUUUUAAUUUUCAGCUGCCUGAAGUUAAUUGAAUCCUAGCUAUUCUCAGAAAAAAUAGACAUACAUGUGUUAUAUUUCAGUUUUUCUCUGAAAUCUUUGGUUCUAUAGGCAUGAUGUUUUCUCUUAAAGAUGUUGCUUGGUCGCCAUGGGGUUGGUCUUGAAGAAAACAGAGCUAGAGAGCAACCCUGAUGGAAUAGGUUUCAUUCUACGGAUCCCAGUGAUUCAGAAAAACAUUUCAUCUGGUAACUGUGAUAUUCAACUCAGUAAACAUUCUUGCAAAUCACAGUCUAAGGCUAUGGCUGUGCUGAGUGGGAAGAAAUAUGGUGCAGCACCUGUCUGCCCUAACGACAGAGCAACGCUGUGUAGGAUGCCGGUUUCGGUCUGGAUGAAACUAUGUCCUGGAAGGGAGGAGCCCCAGAGCUGCUGCAAACAGCUGAGCCAAGAUAAAAGCUCUUAACACCAAGGCAGCUUCACAAGGAAGUAAUAGCAGAGCUAUUAGCAUCCUAACCAGUCUAAAGUGGGCCACCUUCAGUCCCUCUGGCUGGCACAGUGUUGGUGUGUGGAAAAUAUAUGAGCAGUCAUUUCAACAAAGGACAUGAAUGCUUCUCAGCCUGGAGCGCUCCUCGAGGAUGGAAGAUAUGUGAAGCUCAGUCCCUCUGCCAGUGACGAUUUAAUUAUUAAUGCUAAGUGGAACAGCAGCAACAGGAUUGCAAGCACCCCAGAAUAUUUAAUGGCGUGGCGGUUAGCACUGACGGACUGAGAUAGAGGUGGGGGGGGGGGGGGCUUAAAUCCCCUCAAGCAGACACUGAACCUGCGUAUUUCAUGCUGAGAGUGAAUGUUCAAAGAGAGGCGGCCCCCUCCCCCAGCUCCGUGAUGGGAAUACGGUGACAUUGCUUUUCCUUUGCUCUCCCUAGGCAGCAUCAUUCAAAUGAAUUCAGAUCCAAUCUACGAAGUUUUUGAAUGAAUGAGACCAUAUUUGUUGUGAUAUUACUGUUCACUGGGAAAUAUAUCAUCCAUUCCUACUCUUGUUUAAUGGAAAUUGUCUAGUGCAUUAAUAACCACAAGUUAUCACCAAAAGAAACACGGUUUCUAUAGGCAUCUUGUCUCUUGGUCCGCAAGUAAAGCACAAGACAGUUACUUCUGAGCAGGUCUCUCAAACGGCAGUUAUCUGUGCCAGUCCAUCUGGCACUGAAUGAUAUGCUAGCGCUUACCUCCCUUCAUCAGCUUUGUCAUAACAGAAUAGUAAAAUAAACGCAGAGCUGGUAAUCUGGACCGCAUACUCCAUGCAUGCCACAAACUGAGUGUCUCGUUAGGUGCUGAACACACAAUAAUUCAAAAAUAAGAAUGAAGCAGAUUGUUGCUGUGGAGGCUGAGAAGCUGUCAUGCCAGAAGAAGUUAAAACAGGUCCACUGAUACAGUGGUGGGUAAAUAAUAGAUAGUUACUAACUUUUAAUAGAUACAGGUCUUCAACUAUUGCUCUUGCAAUUACAUUUUUAUUAGGACCUCAAUCACAUACCCACCCAAAACAAUUAUCUUCCUCAGUCCUUUUAAUGUGCUUCUUGGAAGAGAGGGAGGGAGACAUAAAAAUGGAAGGAUUGCCUUUUCUUAUAAGAGUAGCUCAGUGUUUUUCUGCAUGUUUUAUGAGUGGGCAUUACCCAUUCUUCCCACUUCAUUAUGCCUUUUUUUAAGAGAUUGAAAAAAAAUUUAUCUUUGGAAGAGACCAGUACAAGGAAACACUCUAAGAAAAAAUAUAACAUCAUGGUAAGAAGAAAGCAGAUCAAAAGUUUCUAAGUGCGCUCUUUCAUAAAAAGAAAAGAAAAAAGAAGGGAACAUUCAGUGAUCUUGAAAUGUUACAAAGUAGAAACUGAGAAAGGUUUUCACACAAACUAGAACAUGGAACUUGUUGCCAAAGUUUUUCA